RNAcentral lists this ribosomal RNA (449 nucleotides) under uncultured bacterium. RNAcentral describes it as "partial 16S ribosomal RNA". It matches the Rfam family "Bacterial small subunit ribosomal RNA", at positions 29 to 523 of the family's 1533-position model. The record is from RNAcentral.
AACGAACGCUGGCGGCAUGCCUAACACAUGCAAGUCGAACGAAGGCUUCGGCCUUAGUGGCGCACGGGUGCGUAACGCGUGGGAAUCUGCCCCUCGGUUCGGAAUAACAGUUAGAAGUGACUGCUAAUACCGGAUGAUGACUUCGGUCCAAAGAUUUAUCGCCGAGGGAUGAGCCCGCGUAAGAUUAGGUAGUUGGUGGGGUAAAGGCCUACCAAGCCGACGAUCUUUAGCUGGUAUGAGAGGAUGAUCAGCCACACUGGGACUGAGACACGGCCCAGACGCCUACGGGAGGCAGCAGUGGGGAAUAUUGGACAAUGGGCGAAAGCCUGAUCCAGCAAUGCCGCGUGAGUGAUGAAGGCCUUAGGGUUGUAAAGCUCUUUUACCUGGGAUGAUAAUGACAGUACCUGGAGAAUAAGCUCCGGCUAACUCCGUGCCAGCCGCCGCGGUAA